AACGAACGCUGGCGGCAGGCUUAACACAUGCAAGUCGAGCGCCCCGCAAGGGGAGCGGCAGACGGGUGAGUAACGCGUGGGAAUCUACCCAUCCCUACGGAAUAGCUCCGGGAAACUGGAAUUAAUACCGUAUACGCCCUACGGGGGACAGAUUUAUCGGGGAUGGAUGAGCCCGCGUUGGAUUAGCUAGUUGGUGGGGUAAAGGCCUACCAAGGUGACGAUCCAUAGCUGGUCUGAGAGGUUGAUCAGCCACAUUGGGACUGAGACACGGCCCAAACUCCUACGGGAUGCAGCAGUGGGGAGUAUUGGACAAUGGGGGCAACCCUGAUCCAGCCAUGCCGCGUGAGUGAUGAAGGCCUUAGGGUUGUAAAGCUCUUUCACCGGGGAAGAUAAUGACGGUACCCGGAGAAGAAGCCCCGGCUAACUUCGUGCCAGCCGCCGCAGUAA
This 447-nucleotide ribosomal RNA is filed under the name uncultured bacterium. RNAcentral's name for it is "partial 16S ribosomal RNA". It matches the Rfam family "Bacterial small subunit ribosomal RNA", at positions 29 to 523 of the family's 1533-position model. The record is from RNAcentral.